RNAcentral lists this ribosomal RNA (406 nucleotides) under uncultured bacterium. RNAcentral describes it as "partial 16S ribosomal RNA". It matches the Rfam family "Bacterial small subunit ribosomal RNA", at positions 29 to 526 of the family's 1533-position model. The record is from RNAcentral.
AUUGAACGCUGGCGGCAGGCCUAACACAUGCAAGUCGAGCGAGAGGCGGACGGGUGAGUAAUGUCUGGGAAACUGCCUGAUGGAGGGGGAUAAAUACUGGAAAAGGUAGCUAAUACCGCAGACAAUCCGAAGUGCACAGAUGUGCAUAGCUAGUAGGUGGGGUAACGGCUCACCUAGGCGACGAGCCCUAGCUGGUCUGAGAGGAUGACCAGCCACCCUGGAACUGAGACACGGUCCAGACUCCGACGGGAGGCAGCAGUGGGGAAUAUUGCACAAUGGGCGCAAGCCUGAUGCAGCCAUGCCGCGUGUGUGAAGAAGGCCUUCGGGUUGUAAAGCACUUUCAGCGGGGAGGCGUUACCCGCAGAAGAAGCACCGGCUAACUCCGUGCCAGCAGCCGCGGUAAUUC